UACGAAGGGGGCUAGCGUUGCUCGGAAUCACUGGGCGUAAAGCGCACGUAGGCGGACUCUUAAGUCGGGGGUGAAAGCCUGUGGCUCAACCACAGAAUUGCCUUCGAUACUGUAGAGCUUGAGACCGGAAGAGGUAAGUGGAACUGCGAGUGUAGAGGUGAAAUUCGUAGAUAUUCGCAAGAACACCAGUGGCGAAGGCGGCUUACUGGUCCGGUUCUGACGCUGAGGCGCGAAAGCGUGGGGAGCAAACAGG
RNAcentral lists this ribosomal RNA (253 nucleotides) under uncultured bacterium. RNAcentral describes it as "partial 16S ribosomal RNA". It matches the Rfam family "Bacterial small subunit ribosomal RNA", at positions 524 to 776 of the family's 1533-position model. The record is from RNAcentral.